CCUACGGGGGGCUGCAGUGGGGAAUAUUGGACAAUGGGGGCAACCCUGAUCCAGCCAUGCCGCGUGUGUGAAGAAGGCCCUCGGGUUGUAAAGCACUUUCAGUGAGGAAGAACGCCUGGUGGUUAAUACCCAUCAGGAAAGACAUCACUCACAGAAGAAGCACCGGCUAACUCCGUGCCAGCAGCCGUGGUAAUACGGAGGGUGCGAGCGUUAAUCGGAAUUACUGGGCGUAAAGCGCGCGUAGGUGGCUUGAUAAGCCGGUUGUGAAGCCCCGGGCUCAACCUGGGAACGGCAUCCGGAACUGUCAAGCUAGAGUGCAGGAGAGGAAGGUAGAAUUCCCGGUGUAGCGGUGAAAUGCGUAGAGAUCGGGAGGAAUACCAGUGGCGAAGGCGGCCUUCUGGACUGACACUGACACUGAGGUGCGAAAGCGUGGGUAGCAAACAGGAUUAGAUACCCCGGUAGUC
This 464-nucleotide ribosomal RNA is filed under the name Vreelandella stevensii. RNAcentral's name for it is "partial 16S ribosomal RNA". It matches the Rfam family "Bacterial small subunit ribosomal RNA", at positions 338 to 795 of the family's 1533-position model. Lineage: Bacteria; Pseudomonadati; Pseudomonadota; Gammaproteobacteria; Oceanospirillales; Halomonadaceae. The record is from RNAcentral.